UAAUACAGAGGGUGCGAGCGUUAAUCGGAAUUACUGGGCGUAAAGGGCGCGUAGGCGGUAGAGGGGGUGUGAUGUGAAAGCCCUGGGCUUAACCUGGGAAGGGCAUCGCAAACUAAGCUACUGGAGUAGAUGAGAGGGUGGCGGAAUUUCCGGUGUAGCGGUGAAAUGCGUAGAGAUCGGAAGGAACGUCGAUGGCGAAGGCAGCCACCUGGCAUCAUACUGACGCUGAGGCGCGAAAGCGUGGGUAGCGAACAGGAUUAGAUACCCUGGUAGUCCACGCUGUAAACGAUGAGGACUAGAUGUUGGUAGGGGAACCUAUCGGUAUCGAAGCGAACGCGAUAAGUCUUCCGCCUGGGAAGUACGGCCGCAAGGUUG
This 375-nucleotide ribosomal RNA is filed under the name uncultured bacterium. Its description in RNAcentral is "bacterial SSU rRNA". It matches the Rfam family "Bacterial small subunit ribosomal RNA", at positions 521 to 896 of the family's 1533-position model. The record is from RNAcentral.